GCUGCCCGCGACAUUGCGAGAAGUCCACUGCAACCUUAUCAUUUAGAGGAAGGNAGAAGUCGUAACAAGGUUUCCGUAGGUGAACCUGCGGAAGGAUCAUUGUCGAAACCUGCAAAGCAGAACGACCCGAGAACGCGUUUUUACCUUACGUCGACAAUGUGCGGGCCUUGUGCCAACACAUUGUCGAACACAACUAAUCAUCGAGCGCGGAAUGCGCCAAGGAAAAAUAUAAAGAACAUAACCACCUCGUUGUAACCCUGAAACGGCGGUCUCCUCGAGGAUGCGUUUGUUCCAUAAGUCAAAACGACUCUCGGCAACGGAUAUCUCGGCUCUCGCAUCGAUGAAGAACGUAGCGAAAUGCGAUACGUGGUGUGAAUUGCAGAAUUCCGUGAAUCAUCGAGUUUUUGAACGCAAGUUGCGCCCGAAGCCAUUUGGCCGAGGGCACGUCUGCCUGGGCGUCACGCCAUCGUUGCCCCCUCCUCAAGCCCAUCACUCCCAAAAUGGGCGAUGAGCAUGUCGGGGGGGGCGUAUAUUGGGCUUCCCGUUUGCAUGUCUUCUGGGUUGGCCUAAAAUUGAAUUCCUUAGCUGCGAUCGUCGUGGCACAUGGUYGGUAUUCGAACUAAUCGUGAUCUGCCACGUGGGUUUGUCGGCGUAACGGACUAUAUAAACCCAAAUGUGUAACCUCAACUCGGGCGNACACUUUCCAACGCGGACCCCCAGGGUCANGCGGGGAUUACCCGCCUGGAANUUUAAGCCAUUAUCAAAUAANCCGGGAAGGAAAAAAGAAAACUUU
This 793-nucleotide ribosomal RNA is filed under the name Pilea dauciodora. RNAcentral's name for it is "eukaryotic LSU rRNA". The stretch from base 306 to 461 matches the Rfam family "5.8S ribosomal RNA". Lineage: Eukaryota; Viridiplantae; Streptophyta; Magnoliopsida; Rosales; Urticaceae. The record is from RNAcentral.